This is a non-coding RNA of Canis lupus familiaris (dog), 120 nucleotides long. The record is from Rfam. NCBI's taxonomy places the organism in Eukaryota, Metazoa, Chordata, Mammalia, Carnivora, Canidae.
ACUCAACAUAAUACCACCCUGAAAGCACCCGAUCUCCUCUGAUCUCAGAAGCUAAGCAGGGUUGGGCCUGAUUAGUACUUGGAUGGGAGACCAGCUUUGUAUCCUUGAAUGGGCUGGGGU